UCCCUUCAGGUUCCUUCCCCUCAGACCUCAAGAAUGUUCGGAGUGGCUGAAAAGGAGGGAGAGCAAAAUUGAAAUGGACUUGGACUCUUCACUGACACACAAGUUCACUUCAAACAUGU
RNAcentral lists this small nucleolar RNA (119 nucleotides) under Echinops telfairi (small Madagascar hedgehog). Its description in RNAcentral is "Small nucleolar RNA SNORA61 (ENSETEG00000026224.1)". The record is from RNAcentral. Lineage: Eukaryota; Metazoa; Chordata; Mammalia; Afrosoricida; Tenrecidae.